RNAcentral lists this long non-coding RNA (804 nucleotides) under Marmota monax (woodchuck). Lineage: Eukaryota; Metazoa; Chordata; Mammalia; Rodentia; Sciuridae. The record is from RNAcentral.
GGGGUAUUUCUUUAAUUGCCACAAUCACCCAAGGCUCUGGGUUUAUUUUUAUACAUUACUCAUCUGUUUAUUCAAUUUAUAUAUCAUUUGAUCUUGUGUGUAAGUCUUAAAAUUUCAGUUAUCAACUUGAGUGUUAUCAGGGUUAUUUUUCAUGCCAAAAGGCUCAGAAAUGCCAGUUGACUUAUGGACCUGGCUCUAGUUUUUCUUUUUUUUCCAAAGAUACGGUUAUUAGUCGGGGUUCUGGUAGGAAGGAGAUAGCUGUGUUGAAAAGACUUUUUAAAUGAAGCACUUUGGGCAGAAUUAUGGGGACCAGCAAGGGGUGCAGAGGCACCCUGAGCCCUGAAGGACCACAAGAGGCUGGGGACAGCAUUGUCAGAGUCUGAUAAGAAAUGAGCUGUGUGAGAGGGACCACCAACAGAAGGUACCAUAAGGGAACACAGCCACCAGCAACCUGUGGCGAGGCUGGAGGGAGCUGGCAGGAUACAUGCCCUUGGGUCUCUCCUCCCACCUCUUGAUUUCCUGAUGCUGCCUCCAAUUGGCCAGUCUGGAUGAUCCAAUCCAGAAAGAUCAAGUUUCCUGUCCCAGAGAAGGGCUGAGAGUAGAUUUGGAGUGAGGUGGGGAUAAGAUACACACAACAUCACUGACAUCAGCCUCUUCUGUACUGUUGGCUAUUGGAAUUCUCAUUAGGUUUUCAAUAGACAAGCGAUUCUCCAUAAAUUUUCAAUAGCUAUGGCACAGGUGAAAGUGUACCAAAUAUAUAUUUAUUAUCUUGAAGAAUUUCUCUUUGUUCCUGUUGAUCAGCCU